This 370-nucleotide transfer-messenger RNA is filed under the name Gaiellaceae. RNAcentral describes it as "JACCTQ01 sp013812265 Standard tmRNA". It matches the Rfam family "transfer-messenger RNA". Rfam says of the family: Bacterial tmRNA, also known as 10Sa RNA or SsrA, is named for its dual tRNA and mRNA-like properties. Its role is to liberate the mRNA from a stalled ribosome. RNAcentral also lists the same sequence under 1 other name. The record is from RNAcentral. Lineage: Bacteria; Bacillati; Actinomycetota; Thermoleophilia; Gaiellales.
GGGGGCGACCUGGUUUCGACGUGGUCGGUUCUCCGGCAGAGCUGCAAGCCGAGGUCCCCGGUCGGCCUCGUUAAUCAACCGGGAAACAACGUAAGUGCGGAUCGUGAACUCGCACUCGCUGCCUAAUCUCUAGAGACUAGGUACAGCGCGUCGCUCCGGGUCGGGCCCGUGACCCGGGGAGCGGCGUCAACCAACGGGCUCGGCGCCAAGGGAGAGCCAAUCGCCUGCGGCGCGACACCGAAGGAUGGCUAGCCCGGCGGUUGGUCGGCUGUCCACCGGCCGGCGGGCGAAAACGAAGGGCAGCCUAAGCUUGUAGACGUUCUGUCCGGUGCGUCCGCGGACGCGGGUUCGAUUCCCGCCGCCUCCAUCA